CUAAACCUAAAUUGAUCUCAAAUAAUAAACUCAGAGCAACAACGAAGGUGCCAUGGCUGAAUUAAUCACUUCUCCAACUAAUUUUCUCCACAAACCGACCUCUCCCUUCUAUUCCCUUCCUAUCUGUUUUAUGUUAAAUUGUGGUUGAUACAAGAUGUCAAUUUUCGUGAAAAGGGGCAGUCAAUUCAGAAUUUGAAUUCUUUAAUGAUCCUUUCUGCAGAUGUUCCUUUAUCAAAUUCUCUGCGGCAUUGCUUACUGUGACAUUUAUUGAUAUAAUAUAUUAAUAUCUUAUAGUUGGCUAAUUUGGUAUAAAAUGAUUGUGCACAUAAUGCAGAGACUGAGCAUCAACCUACCCAAUAUCCAACUUCGGAGGAGUUCAGUAUUGAGAAGAUAAAGUUCAAGGCUUUCAAUAUGGGUGGUCACCAGAUUGCUCACCGGGUCGGAAGGACUAUUAUGCUCAGUGCUGGUGAGAUACCUUGCCAAGUAUGUGGAUCCAGGGACAUAGGAGAUGUAAUGCUGAUUUGUGGUGAUGAAAGUGGCUCCCUUAGCUGUCAGUGUAGUGUAUUACUGUUUAACUCAAAGUAUGAUUUGCUUCUUUGGGCUGAGAAGAAAGGGCUAGACCACUGGAUGGAUGUUGAAGCCUUGAAAGAUAAACAAAAACAAAGAAAUUGGUAAAGUACUAUGCCUUUUUAGCUUCUGAUCAAGCUGUGCAGUUUGAUGGAGAACACCGGAAGAGAGAAGGCUGAUGAGAAAUCGAUUGGAGCAAGCAAAGAGAAAAUUCGAGAGUUUAAUCAAAUGUGCAUUUAGGGUUUCAAAAUGGGGAUUUGAGAUUGAUAUCCACCGAGAGAAGAAGCAGUGUGCAGAGGAGAGAGAGAAUUCAGGGUGCAUUCAACAGAGAAGGGGAAGAUGGCGAGUCUCUCUGAUCCGGAGCAUGAGGAUUUUGUGCGAGACUUUGACUUCAUCAUUUUUUGGGGAUCUGUGGAUUCCAGCGAGUUUGGUUGUGGUUGGAAUCGUUGAAGCACAUCCCAUGCUCCGAGGAGAAGGUUCAACAAAUUUCGUCAGAUGAAUACAAGAAGCCCUCUUAGGUUUUAGUUGUCAGUAGUGAGGGUGCUGAUUUCGUUGUUUUUUUUUACUUCCGAUAAGCAGACCUGAAGAUUGGGAUAAAGCCCCUGAUCCCAAGAAAUAUUUUGUUCAAUUCUUUGGCACCGAAGAAAUGUUUUUAGUGGAAAUAUAUGGUGGCAAAGAAAAAGUGCAAUCCACGGAACCACUUUGCCAUCGACUUGCAAUCCAAAGUGUAAUCUUUGUUAGCCGUCUUUGCGUUGCGGCGAAUGUUCUUCCAUCAGCAAGAGAAUGAAGAGACGAUUACAUCAGAUUCUUUUAUUAAUCGAUUUAUCAUGUAUUAGAUUUAGACCUAUCAGCCUAUUAACUAACCUUUCUAUUGUUUUGCCGGAAACAAUAAUGGGCUUCUCUUGCCCCAUACCACCACAGACCAAGGUUUGCCCAUAUUGGGUUGGUCUUCUUGAAUCCAGGAUGCUAAUGGUUCUGAUAUGAAUGCCAUUAUUAGUUUAAUCGAGGUCAGGUGAUUCUUUUUUGGGGUUUGACAAAGAUGGAUAUUGAAUUGUCUAAAGGUAGAGAGCUUCAAGUUGCUACCCACGUGAGUAUGGGGACGGGUAUAUGUAAAUUUUACAAACGCGGGUAUGAGGAUGGUACUAUAGUACCUACCCAUUGACAUCCCUUCUUAGUUGGAAUAAACACAAUAAUGUUAUACUAUAUGAUUUAUCUUACACAAUUCUGAUUUGUGAUACUAUCACAUUUAUUUUUAAAAGAUUAAUAUGUUGGUAAUUUCUUAUAUCAA
Lotus japonicus is the source of this 1855-nucleotide RNA transcript. RefSeq lists it as uncharacterized. The record is from RefSeq and is a predicted model, not a curated record. The transcript has 9 exons. Lineage: Eukaryota; Viridiplantae; Streptophyta; Magnoliopsida; Fabales; Fabaceae.